GUUUAAAUAGUUUAAUAAAAAACAUUGGUUUGUGGUACCAAAAAUAUAAAUAUAAUUAUUUUAAAUC
RNAcentral lists this transfer RNA (67 nucleotides) under Pagurus maculosus. RNAcentral describes it as "tRNA-His". It matches the Rfam family "tRNA". Rfam says of the family: Transfer RNA (tRNA) molecules are approximately 80 nucleotides in length. Their secondary structure includes four short double-helical elements and three loops (D, anti-codon, and T loops). Further hydrogen bonds mediate the characteristic L-shaped molecular structure. tRNAs have two regions of fundamental functional importance: the anti-codon, which is responsible for specific mRNA codon recognition, and the 3' end, to which the tRNAs corresponding amino acid is attached (by aminoacyl-tRNA synthetases). tRNAs cope with the degeneracy of the genetic code in two manners: having more than one tRNA (with a specific anti-codon) for a particular amino acid; and 'wobble' base-pairing, i.e. permitting non-standard base-pairing at the 3rd anti-codon position. Lineage: Eukaryota; Metazoa; Arthropoda; Malacostraca; Decapoda; Paguridae. The record is from RNAcentral.